RNAcentral lists this ribosomal RNA (301 nucleotides) under uncultured bacterium. Its description in RNAcentral is "partial 16S ribosomal RNA". It matches the Rfam family "Bacterial small subunit ribosomal RNA", at positions 509 to 807 of the family's 1533-position model. The record is from RNAcentral.
CAGUAGCCGCGGUAAUACGAAGGGUGCAAGCGUUAAUCGGAAUUACUGGGCGUAAAGGGUGCGUAGGCGGUUUGAUAAGUUUGGUGUGAAAUCUCUGGGCUCAACCCAGAGUCCGCAUCGAAAACUGUCGGGCUUGAGUAUGGGAGAGGUGAGUGGAAUUUCCGGUGUAGCGGUGAAAUGCGUAGAUAUCGGAAGGAACACCUGUGGCGAAAGCGGCUCACUGGACCAUAACUGACGCUGAUGCACGAAAGCUAGGGGAGCAAACAGGAUUAGAUACCCCAGUAGUCCCUGUCUCUUAUAC